Molecule: ribosomal RNA, 309 nt
Filed under: Tesseropora pacifica
Lineage: Eukaryota; Metazoa; Arthropoda; Thecostraca; Balanomorpha; Tetraclitidae
Description: partial 12S ribosomal RNA
Source: RNAcentral
UUGGAGUAGUAAUAUUAAUGAAAUUUAACGGAUUUGGCGGCAAGAUAGCCCCUUAGAGGAACCUGCCCUGUAAACGAUGAGCCACGAUGGACUCUACUUUUUUUGGUAAUCAGUUUGUAUAUCGCUGUUGUCAGUUAGAUUCUUGAGAAUAUUUUCGUUCAUGAAAAGUUCAUUGACUUCAAGUAAAGGUGCAGCUUAUAAGAAAGAUAGAGGUGGGUUACAUUUAUAAGAAUAAGACGGAGAGGAUGAUUGAAAUAGUCCUCGAAGGUGGAUUUAACUGUAAAACUUAAUUAGGUUUGGUGAGAGCUC